UCUUCCCAGGCCUCUCGAAAGCCCAGCACAUUGAGCCUGCGCUGUUGCCCCGUACCCAGAGCAGAGGAAGAGGCUGGAGGCUGCCUCUGUUCCCUUCCCCUCUCCUCUAGUUCUAAAAUAAACUACCAUUAGCCAUAAUAGAGUCCAGUGUAUCUCCAGUUUAUCAAACUAUCUGCAACUGUGCAGAAAGUUAUGAUAAGAUAGUCCUCACUUUGGUUCAGGGGAAAAAAGCCCUUGGACACAUCAGAUUUACUUCAACCAAACCAUUUUCAAGGACCUCAAGCUUGAACCAGUUCAAUUUCCCCAACUGACAGUUUUGCUCUGUUUGAUGUAGAUUCGCUAAGGCUUUUUGCACAUAAGCUUUGAAGAAAGUCUUCUUAAAUGGGAGGCCAAAAAGAAAAGCAGAUAAACAGACAGGAACACAUGUUCCUGGUCCAUUGCACAAUAUCUAAAAGAGAUGAAACACAAAACUCAGAAGGUGAACACAUCAUCUUUACAUCCUAGAAUUUUGAAAUCAGAGAAGAAUACUGUGGUUUCAAACCUCCUGCUGAACCUGACUUCAAGCACAUCCACACUGGGGCCUUAUACUCUACAAUCUACUGAGAAUGAAGAUCUGUUUUUUAUACAUUUGGUUUGGAAACUGGCAACACCUGCUGUUCUCCUUAAUGACCUCUGCAGAGAUUGGCCUUUUGUCACCUGGUCAAGAGCAGAAACACUGCCCUGCUUGCUGGGGAGGAUGGUGCUGUGGGAAUGCUGUUUGCUGCUGGGGGCUGUGCACGUGUGAGCUGAAGGUUGUGCUGCCUACCAGGUCAGAGGAAGGGAGUAAAGUAUGGAGUACAGUGUUGUUAGCACAGAGGAGAUCCAGGACUGUCUGACCUCCCGGCUUCUGGGAAUGCGAUCCAGGCUGAACUGGAAAAGAGCACGAGGAACGGCGCUGUUACUUUUCUGACAACGUUGUGGCUUCUUCUUAUUACAUCUGUCUGUGCCAGCCUUUUUUUGCCUUUUCUUAGUCUAGUUUGGGAACGUUUGUGUAUAAAAAGUAAAGUACAAAGCACAGAGAACAGCAGAACGCGGUAGGUGUUGCUCAGUGCCGCCCCGGGCUCCCUCCAGCCGCAGCAGCAGCG
Long non-coding RNA from Passer domesticus (house sparrow), 1124 nucleotides. RefSeq lists it as uncharacterized. The transcript is spliced from 6 exons. NCBI's taxonomy places the organism in Eukaryota, Metazoa, Chordata, Aves, Passeriformes, Passeridae. The record is from RefSeq and is a predicted model, not a curated record.